Small nuclear RNA from Cavia aperea (Brazilian guinea pig), 104 nucleotides. The record is from Ensembl. Lineage: Eukaryota; Metazoa; Chordata; Mammalia; Rodentia; Caviidae.
GUGCUCACUUCGGCAGCACAUUUACUAAAAUUGGAAUGAUACAGAGAUUAGCAUGGCCCCUGUGCAAGGAUGACACGCAAAUUUGUGAAGCGUUCCAUAUUUUU